Molecule: ribosomal RNA, 484 nt
Filed under: uncultured bacterium
Lineage: Bacteria
Description: partial 16S ribosomal RNA
Rfam family: Bacterial small subunit ribosomal RNA
Source: RNAcentral
AUUGAACGCUGGCGGCAUGCUUUACACAUGCAAGUCGAACGGCAGCGCGGGCUUCGGCCUGGCGGCGAGUGGCGAACGGGUGAGUAAUACAUCGGAACGUGCCCAGUAGUGGGGGAUAGCUCGGCGAAAGCCGGAUUAAUACCGCAUACGACCUGAGGGUGAAAGCGGGGGAUCUUCGGACCUCGCGCUAUUGGAGCGGCCGAUGGCAGAUUAGCUAGUUGGUGGGGUAAAGGCCUACCAAGGCGUCGAUCUGUAGCUGGUCUGAGAGGACGACCAGCCACACUGGGACUGAGACACGGCCCAGACUCCUACGGGAGGCAGCAGUGGGGAAUUUUGGACAAUGGGCGAAAGCCUGAUCCAGCAAUGCCGCGUGUGUGAUGAAGGCCUUCGGGUUGUAAAGCACUUUUGGCGGGAACGAAAAGGACUGUGCCAAUACCACGGUUCGAUGACGGUACCCGCAGAAUAAGCACCGGCUAACUACGUG